AACCUUUACAAUGCACGCAAGUGUGAUAAGGGAAUCCCAAGUGCUCAAGCAUUGCUUGGGCUUUUGCCAUGUGUAAAUAGCAUGGCGAAUAAGUGGUGGGAAAGACUGGUGCCAGCCGCCGCGGUAACACCAGCGCCACAAGUGGCAAUCACGUUUAUUGGGCCUAAAGCGUCCGUAGCAGGUUUCGUAAAUCUCUUGUGAAAUUGCCAAGCUCAACUUGGCAAAAUGCAGGGGACACUGCGAGGCUUGAGACUGGGAGGAGUUAGAAGUAUUCCUUAGGGAGCGGUAAAAUGCUAUAAUCUAAGGAGGACUACCUGUGGCGAAGGCGUCUAACUAGAACGGAUCUGACUGUGAGGGACGAAAGCUAGGGGAGCGAACCGGAUUAGAUACCCGAGUAGUCCUAGCCGUAAACGCUGUGAGCUAGGUGUCGCGUAUUCUACGUGAAUGCGCGGUGUCGAAAGGAAGCUAUUAAGCUCACCGCCUGGGAAGUACGGUCGCAAGACUGAAACUUUAAGGAAUUGGCGGGGGAGCAC
RNAcentral lists this ribosomal RNA (533 nucleotides) under uncultured archaeon. Its description in RNAcentral is "bacterial SSU rRNA". It matches the Rfam family "Archaeal small subunit ribosomal RNA", at positions 345 to 879 of the family's 1478-position model. The record is from RNAcentral.